AGACCCGAAACCCGGUGAUCUAGCCAUGGGCAGGUUGAAGGUUGGGUAACACUAACUGGAGGACCGAACCGACUAAUGUUGAAAAAUUAGCGGAUGACCUGUGGCUGGGGGUGAAAGGCCAAUCAAACCGGGAGAUAGCUGGUUCUCCCCGAAAGCUAUUUAGGUAGCGCCUCGUGAAUUCAUCUCCGGGGGUAGAGCACUGUUUCGGCUAGGGGGCCAUCCCGGCUUACCAACCCGAUGCAAACUGCGAAUACCGGAGAAUGUUAUCACGGGAGACACACGGCGGGUGCUAACGUCCGUCGUGAAGAGGGAAACAACCCAGACCGCCAGCUAAGGUCCCAAAGUCAUGGUUAAGUGGGAAACGAUGUGGGAAGGCCCAGACAGCCAGGAUGUUGGCUUAGAAGCAGCCAUCAUUUAAAGAAAGCGUAAUAGCUCACUGGUCGAGUCGGCCUGCGCGGAAGAUGUAACGGGGCUAAACUAUGCACCGAAGCUGCGGCAGCGACACUAUGUGUUGUUGGGUAGGGGAGCGUUCUGUAAGCCUGUGAAGGUGUGUCGUGAGGCAUGCUGGAGGUAUCAGAAGUGCGAAUGCUGACAUAAGUAACGAUAAAGCGGGUGAAAAGCCCGCUCGCCGGAAGACCAAGGGUUCCUGUCCAACGUUAAUCGGGGCAGGGUGAGUCGACCCCUAAGGCGAGGCCGAAAGGCGUAGUCGAUGGGAAACGGGUUAAUAUUCCCGUACUUGGUGUUACUGCGAAGGGGGGACGGAGAAGGCUAUGUUGGCCGGGCGACGGUUGUCCCGGUUUAAGCGUGUAGGUGUGUGUUCCAGGUAAAUCCGGUUCACUUUAACACUGAGGCGUGACGACGAGGCACUACGGUGCUGAAGCAACAAAUGCCCUGCUUCCAGGAAAAGCCUCUAAGCAUCAGGUAACAUCAAAUCGUACCCCAAACCGACACAGGUGGUCAGGUAGAGAAUACCAAGGCGCUUGAGAGAACUCGGGUGAAGGAACUAGGCAAAAUGGUGCCGUAACUUCGGGAGAAGGCACGCUGACACGUAGGUGAAGUGAUUUACUCAUGGAGCUGAAGUCAGUCGAAGAUACCAGCUGGCUGCAACUGUUUAUUAAAAACACAGCACUGUGCAAACACGAAAGUGGACGUAUACGGUGUGACGCCUGCCCGGUGCCGGAAGGUUAAUUGAUGGGGUCAGCGCAAGCGAAGCUCCUGAUCGAAGCCCCGGUAAACGGCGGCCGUAACUAUAACGGUCCUAAGGUAGCGAAAUUCCUUGUCGGGUAAGUUCCGACCUGCACGAAUGGCGUAAUGAUGGCCAGGCUGUCUCCACCCGAGACUCAGUGAAAUUGAACUCGCUGUGAAGAUGCAGUGUACCCGCGGCAAGACGGAAAGACCCCGUGAACCUUUACUAUAGCUUGACACUGAACAUUGAGCCUUGAUGUGUAG
This 1449-nucleotide ribosomal RNA is filed under the name Salmonella enterica. RNAcentral's name for it is "partial 23S ribosomal RNA". It matches the Rfam family "Bacterial large subunit ribosomal RNA", at positions 711 to 2141 of the family's 2925-position model. The record is from RNAcentral. RNAcentral also lists the same sequence under 1 other name. Lineage: Bacteria; Pseudomonadati; Pseudomonadota; Gammaproteobacteria; Enterobacterales; Enterobacteriaceae.